Long non-coding RNA from Helianthus annuus (common sunflower), 2356 nucleotides. RefSeq lists it as uncharacterized. The record is from RefSeq and is a predicted model, not a curated record. The transcript is spliced from 6 exons. NCBI's taxonomy places the organism in Eukaryota, Viridiplantae, Streptophyta, Magnoliopsida, Asterales, Asteraceae.
UUGCUAAUGAAUUGAAUUCUCUAUACUUACUUGCUAACUAUAUUGAGGUUAAUUUUUUCGGUUGUUACUUUGCCUAUUAUUUUGUAGAUAUAUGUUGAGUUCAACAUUUACAUUUAGGAUUUGUAGUCUCUGCAUUUAAAAUACAGAUGUAAUGUUCCUCUGCUGUUGAUGAAUCAUGUAAGUACACAAAAUGAGCCAACCAUGGUCAGGUAUCUUUCAUGUGAAGUUAAAUUUAUAUUCUCUGAAGCUUGUAUUGCACUAAAAACAUUACACAUUUAUCUUUAUUUUGUUGCAGGCGCUAAUUGAUUAUAUUAAAAGUGACUUUGACAUCAAUGUUCACUGAGAACAUUACACACGCUGAACGGGUUCGGGUCAGUUUCAGGUUGAACCCGCGAACCCGUUUAGGUUAACGGGUCGGGUUCGGGUCAACCUGGUCGGGUUAGCGGGUUGACCCGUUUAACACAUUUAUAUUAUAUUAUAUUUUUUUGCAAUAUGUUUUGUGUCAUAAAUUAAAUGGGGUAUGUUUUUAUUCCAUAAUUAUUACUUAAAAAGAGAAAUUAAUAUAAGAUUUUGUAAUUUAAAUAUAACUGUGUUACAUACAUUUGUGUUUUUUAAUUAAAAUUUAAUUUUAAUAUAGUUAUUUCAGAAAAUAAAAUAAAAAAUAAAAAAAUUCGGGUUAAACAGAUUGUGUUCGGGACUUCGGGUCAACCCGCAAAUUUCGGGGUCGUGUUCGGGGUCAUAUGAAUGAUACGAUUUUUGGGUUCGGGUUCGUGUAAAAUUUUCGGGUUCGGGUCGGGUUAAACCCGCUAACCGGCGAACCCGACCCGUUUAGCACCCCUAAUUGAAGGUUUGAACCAUUCCUUAUUAAUAUUCUUUUAGCCCAAUCUUCUGAGGCUCUCAAAUUGGCAAUAUGGACAGGCAUGCGGGCUGAGUGACAGCUCCAAUCAAGCCCGGGUCAAAACAUAUCAUACUAGGCAGUUCAUUCAGGUGCAUAUAUUGAGUCUGCAAUAACAAAAUGCAUGGGCGAUAAAUCAUCUUCGGGUUUUUAUCCUCAAUAGAAGCGUCCGUUGACAAUGAUAUUCUUCUUUGUGAUGGUUUGUGUGAAGUUGAUACCGUCAAUUUUGUUUGGAUCUACCUCUAUUGAAAGCGCAAGAUUUUACUUUUGAAUCCAGAUGAUCUUGGUUAUAUGAACAAUGAAGUAGCAUCAACAUAAGAUAAGGGCUUGAUAUGCCUGGAGAUAAACAAGAGUUACCAGAUUCGCAUAUGACCCCAUAACUGCAAAGAGAAAUGUUGAGAGACUAGAGUACAAAACACUGUAUGAGGUGAGUUUUCACCUUUAUAAAGUUUGGUUGAGUUGGGUUGGGUUGUAUUUGAUCUUAAUCGGUCCAAUUUAAAAGAUUAAAACUAGCUCAAACGUAUUGAGUAAAAGAAAAGCUCAAAUGGGCUGAAAGUGGCAUCAGAAAUGGGAAAUCGGGAGACACAGUGGCAGAUCUAGGGGGUUCCUAGGUUCCCAGGAACCCCCCGGUUUGGAAAAAAAGUAGUGGAAACCUUGGAUGAUUUAGGAUAAAUUAGUGAGAAUCUACCAAAAGGAUACCCCUGGAAAAUCCGCCACUAGGGAGGCAACAACAACAUGGGGUUGAGACGGUUUUUCAAUCACAAUCAAGCUUCUUCGAGUUCUAUUACCGGAGGGAAACGUGAAAAACCCGACAAUGGAUGGGAAUUAUUCCCUAUGAACUACAAGCAUCAACAACCACCAUGGCAAUAGAGGUUCGUUCAUGUUGUUACUAUACAAUACAUCAACGUAACCCGUCCACCGGACGGGUAUUCAAGCCUGCAAAACUUAUGCAAAAAAGGAAAUAUAUGAGUUAGCAACUAAUGCAUCAACUUAUCAAGAAGAAUAAUUGAUGAUGCUUUGUCCUUAAGCUGAUAUUUAGAGAGGUUACUUAAUAUGAAAGAAGAGGCCUUCUUUGUGUUGGGGAAACAUAAAGAUACGGUUCAAUUGUGGGGCGAAAUCUAGAUUCAUUCGAAAAGAAGUUUGCAACUGACUCAAAGUUUUGGAGGUGGAACCUGAUGUAAAAAUCUUACUUUCCCCUGGAUAGGCUUGAGAUAGCUCUUAACUUCAUUGAGAACAUGAGCAGUUGAGAUCUACCCCAAACAAAUAAUGCACAUUAUUUUAUUUUUAUAGUUCUUUCAAAGACUAUCAGUUGACUUUAUCAAAAAAGAACUUCUUUGUAGUCAAGUAUCAUGCGUGUUAGUCUUUUUUAAUCAAUCCAUCUUUAUGCCCCUUGUCUACCAUACAUGACUAUUACUUAACCUUUUCAUUUUAAGGAGUGCGUAACCAUUUCACGUUUCAAUG